CCCUUAGAUGUUCUGGGCGGCCCGCGCACUACAAUGGCGUGUGCAGCGAGUGCCGAAGUAGAGUUUUCCGAGGUAUUCUUGCAAUGCUCGUUUUGAUGGGGAUAGACCCUUGCAACUGUUGGUUUUGAACGAGGAAUUCCUUGUAAGCAUGGUUCAUCAUCCGACGCUGAAUGCGUCCCUGCCCUUUGUACACACCGCCCGUCGCUCCUACCGAUUGAGUGCUACGGUGAAUAAUCCGGACUGCAGCAACGUUCGGUUCCUGAAUGUUGCAGUGGACAGUUUAGUGGACCUUAUCACUUAGAGGAAGGAGAAGUCGUAACA
Molecule: ribosomal RNA, 321 nt
Filed under: uncultured eukaryote
Lineage: Eukaryota
Description: partial 18S ribosomal RNA
Rfam family: Eukaryotic small subunit ribosomal RNA
Source: RNAcentral